Molecule: ribosomal RNA, 253 nt
Filed under: uncultured bacterium
Lineage: Bacteria
Description: partial 16S ribosomal RNA
Rfam family: Bacterial small subunit ribosomal RNA
Source: RNAcentral
UACAGAGGUCUCAAGCGUUGUUCGGAUUCAUUGGGCGUAAAGGGUGCGUAGGCGGCGCGGUAAGUCGGGUGUGAAAUCUCCGGGCUUAACUCGGAAAGGUCAACUGAUACUGUGCGACUAGAGUGCAGAAGGGGCAACUGGAAUUCUCGGUGUAGCGGUGAAAUGCGUAGAUAUCAGGAGGAACACCAGUGGCGAAGGCGGCUUCCUGGACACCAACUGACGCUGAGACGCGAAAGCGUGGGGAGCAAACAGA